This is a long non-coding RNA of Oryza sativa Japonica Group (Japanese rice), 1173 nucleotides long. RefSeq lists it as uncharacterized. NCBI's taxonomy places the organism in Eukaryota, Viridiplantae, Streptophyta, Magnoliopsida, Poales, Poaceae. The record is from RefSeq and is a predicted model, not a curated record.
UUGUAAUAAUGUAAAUAUUAUCGAUAUAAUAAAGAUGUGCCUUUUGUAUCAUGUUUGUUUGGUGUACCCCGGCUUUUCCUAGGACGGGGAUUAAUACACUAGCGUUCGGCAAAAGACAAUUUUCUCGGUCGUGACAGCUAAUGACGGAUUAAUUAGGCUCAAAAGAUUCGUCUCGCGGUUUCCAGGCGAGCUAUGAAAUUAGUUUUUUCAUUCGUGUCCGAAAACCCCUUCCUACAUCUGGUCAAAUAUCUGAUGUGACACCAAAAAAUUUUCUUUUUCACGAACUAAACAAGACCUUAGCUGUAAAACCACCAUUAAUUGCCCAUGAUCUCGACAACCUCCACGCAGUCAGACUGAACAAUCAAGCGGUUGCCAGCUAACAUCAACCCUUCCUUAAUUUAGAGCAGAAGCUUCAGCCGAGAGAGAGAGAGCUCUUACCAUGUCUUGUGCAUCGAUCGAGCCAGCUGAGAGGAUCAUGAUCACAGUAUAGUUGGCCAUAUCUCACCUGUUGAGUCCGUCGAGUCGAGAGCUAGCUAGCUAGGGAGAGACAUGGCGCACCAGAGAGACAAGAGCAGCGAGCUAGGAGGAGGCCAUGGCCGGCGGCGAGCUCCGACGCGAGCCGUGGACGUCGGCCGCCUGCUCGUCAACAACGUACCCGCGCGCGCAUGGCAGCGAGCUCCGACGCGAGACGAAGGACGACGUCCCGCUCUCUCGUCAAGCCGCGCACGGCGAUCGCGAGGGCAGUUGGUUGGAACUCGCUCCCCGGAUCAGCAGGACAUUUGGCCAAUGUCCACGAGGGAGCCGGCAUGUUUUAUCAACCCAAGUUCAAGCUAAGUACAUUUUUUGUGAUAUGGAUGGGUGGCCAGGUCAAGAGGGGUACAAACAAUCAUCGUGACAGGAAAGUCCCGCCCUGUAGUUAUUGAAGUUCUUGGCAAGGUUAAUUUAUCUGGCACAGGUGGUAAUGUUUCAGAAUCGUCUCCAGGAGUAUUUCUUCAGGCGCUUCUAUACUCUCUUGGAGCACAGAGUUGCCCUGGUGGUCUUCAGCCAGGAUGACUGCUACACAACGCUUGAUGAUAAUCCUCUGGCGGACUUUUUCCUUGUGGACCACGAACCAAAGGUGCGGCGGCACGUACGUGGUUCGGCGGCACGUACGUCACUUACGAAUGAUUUUCC